Molecule: non-coding RNA, 21 nt
Filed under: Arabidopsis thaliana (thale cress)
Lineage: Eukaryota; Viridiplantae; Streptophyta; Magnoliopsida; Brassicales; Brassicaceae
Source: RNAcentral
CAACGUCCUGCCAAACCCGUC